This 301-nucleotide ribosomal RNA is filed under the name uncultured bacterium. RNAcentral's name for it is "partial 16S ribosomal RNA". It matches the Rfam family "Bacterial small subunit ribosomal RNA", at positions 509 to 807 of the family's 1533-position model. The record is from RNAcentral.
CAGUCGCCGCGGUAAUACGAAGGGUGCAAGCGUUACUCGGAAUUACUGGGCGUAAAGCGUGCGUAGGUGGUGGUUUAAGUCCGUUGUGAAAGCCCUGGGCUCAACCUGGGAAUUGCAGUGGAUACUGGAUCACUAGAGUGUGGUAGAGGAUAGUGGAAUUUCCGGUGUAGCAGUGAAAUGCGUAGAGAUCGGAAGGAACAUCUGUGGCGAAGGCGACUAUCUGGGCCAACACUGACACUGAGGCACGAAAGCGUGGGGAGCAAACAGGAUUAGAUACCCGGGUAGUCCCUGUCUCUUAUAC